Gasterosteus aculeatus aculeatus (three-spined stickleback) is the source of this 675-nucleotide long non-coding RNA. The record is from Ensembl. Lineage: Eukaryota; Metazoa; Chordata; Actinopteri; Perciformes; Gasterosteidae.
CUCUGCAUCAUCGUCGCCCCACUUCUGACCUGCCAUUUGGAUGCCUGGCACGAAACGACACCCGGAAAUAAAGCCCCGUGUCGGAUCUCCGCGGUCUUUUUGCGGAGCCCGGUAAUCACAAAAAGUGACUUGAAAUUUCCCAUUAGGCAUCCAAGGAGGAAUUAAAAAAAAAAAAAGAUUACUCCGCCGUCCUGGUGUUGAGCCGAGGAGAAGCAGAGAGGGAUCAUCGGUGUUCUAGCGCCACCUAGCGGCCCGAGGUGACGCAGGGGACCAGUGCCUCUGGCAAUAGGUGAUGAAGUGGGACAUACUGGUGUCAAAACGCGGAUUAGUGCAGACUCAGCACAUUGAGUCCUGCCAUGACCACAAGACAAAGGAGAGACAAAAGGUUCGUGUCCAAUCGAACAGCAUUAAUACAAGGUCAAAGUCACAUGGUGUCAUUUAACAUUGUGUCAAACAACAUAGUGUUUUAAUACAACUUUUGGGUAAUUUCAAUUGGUGAUACAUUUAUUUAAAAAGUCUAAUGUUUCUGUGGCUAACUUUAUUUACCCCCAGAGAUCCAAAUCUAAUGCGUUUGAACAAUGUUUGCCUGUUAAACAUCAUGUCCAUCGUUGUAUUACGUGAAGAUGAAUCAGUCUUCGGUAUCACACUCACACACACACACACACACACGCACAC